CAGCCGCCGCGGUAAUACGAGGGGGGCAAGCGUUGUUCGGAAUUAUUGGGCGUAAAGGGCACGUAGGCGGUUUGACAAGUCUGAUGUGAAAUCUCUGGGCUCAACCCAGAGUCUGCAUCGGAAACUGUCGAGCUUGAGUAUGGGAGAGGUGAGUGGAAUUUCCGGUGUAGCGGUGAAAUGCGUAGAUAUCGGAAGGAACACCUGUGGCGAAAGCGGCUCACUGGACCAUUACUGACGCUGAGGCGCGAAAGCUAGGGGAGCAAACAGGAUUAGAUACCCGGGUAGUCCCUGUCUCUUAUAA
RNAcentral lists this ribosomal RNA (301 nucleotides) under uncultured bacterium. RNAcentral describes it as "partial 16S ribosomal RNA". It matches the Rfam family "Bacterial small subunit ribosomal RNA", at positions 509 to 809 of the family's 1533-position model. The record is from RNAcentral.